This 369-nucleotide long non-coding RNA is filed under the name Olea europaea (common olive). RNAcentral describes it as "long non-coding RNA (OEUR_LNC001583)". The record is from RNAcentral. Lineage: Eukaryota; Viridiplantae; Streptophyta; Magnoliopsida; Lamiales; Oleaceae.
CUUCAUAACAAAGGUUCAUUACAUCCGAGCAAUAAAAAAACUUAGCCAAACAUAGAGUUGGAAUUAAACAAGCAAAAGAAGAAGGACAUCACCAAAACUUGACGGAACGUGAUAAAUUUCACAAUUAAAACUACAGUAUUCCGCCCGCUUUCUGCCAAAAUUGCCUAAUGCCUUUGUAUCUCUUCCUCGGUUUUUGUAUGUGUGGCGUGUAGUUAUAUAUAUUUUCCCAAGUUAGCAGCUUUUGUUUACUCCAAAAAUGGCUGCUUUUGUGUAUUUGUGUCUCUGCUCAAUUCUGCAUUCAUGUGUGUAUAAAUGUAUAUCACUCCAUCCAGCAACUCUUUUUAUUCUCUCAAAGAGCUGCAAUUUUUU